GUUCAACUGAAUUACGAAUUAUGAAGUUUGCUCUGAUCUUGAUGCUUUGCUGUGUUUUGUUGAUUGUCAUUGUUCCAAUCGCUUCCUCGAAAGAACGCUUUCGAGGGGCUUUUUACAACUCCCACAUACCAGGAUCAAUUGAGGAUGAUAACUUGGACGAGAUGAGAAGCCUCCAGCAGGGCCUUGAAAGGCUCCGCAGCUGAUUUGAGGGUCAACCAAAUAAACGCAUUUCAACAUACUAACUGUUAUGUUUAAGUGAUGCGUUUAAGUAAAACAUAAUAAACCCUAUUUACUC
Non-coding RNA from Ciona intestinalis (vase tunicate), 295 nucleotides. The record is from RefSeq and is a predicted model, not a curated record. NCBI's taxonomy places the organism in Eukaryota, Metazoa, Chordata, Ascidiacea, Phlebobranchia, Cionidae.